CGCCUGUUUAUCAAAAACAUCUUUUCUUGUUAGUUUUUGAAGUAUGGCCUGCCCGCUGACUUUAGUGUUGAAGGGCCGCGGUAUUUUGACCGUGCAAAGGUAGCAUAGUCAUUAGUUCUUUAAUUGUGAUCUGGUAUGAAUGGCUUGACGAGGCAUGGGCUGUCUUAAUUUUGAAUUGCUUAUUGAAUUUGGUCUUUGAGUUAAAAUUCUUAGAUGUUUUUAUGGGACGAGAAGACCCUAUAGAGUUUGACAUUUAUUAUGGUCUCUUUUCUGUUUGUGAGGGUUCACUGGGCCNUUUAAUGUGUUUUGUUGGGGUGAUGGGAGGGAUAUAGUUUAACCCCUCCUUUGUGUUGUUAUAUUUAUUUAUAUUUGCUUGAUCCAUUUAUUUUGAUUGUAAGAUUAAAUUACCUUAGGGAUAACAGCGUAA
Molecule: ribosomal RNA, 427 nt
Filed under: Reticulitermes virginicus (dark southern subterranean termite)
Lineage: Eukaryota; Metazoa; Arthropoda; Insecta; Blattodea; Rhinotermitidae
Description: partial 16S ribosomal RNA
Rfam family: Bacterial large subunit ribosomal RNA
Source: RNAcentral